GUGUCAGCAGCCGCGGUAAUACGGAGGGUGCAAGCGUUGUCCGGAUUUAUUGGGCUUAAAGGGUGCGUAGGCGGCUCUUUAAGUCAGUGGUGAAAUCCUACAGCUUAACUGUAGAACAGCCAUUGAUACUGAAGAGCUUGAGUACAGACGAGGUAGGCGGAAUUUAUGGUGUAGCGGUGAAAUGCAUAGAUACCAUAAAGAACUCCUAUUGCGAAGGCAGCUUACUAGGCUGUAACUGACGCUGAGGCACGAAAGCGUGGGGAUCAAACAGGAUUAGAAACCCCUGUAGUCC
RNAcentral lists this ribosomal RNA (292 nucleotides) under uncultured bacterium. RNAcentral's name for it is "partial 16S ribosomal RNA". It matches the Rfam family "Bacterial small subunit ribosomal RNA", at positions 505 to 796 of the family's 1533-position model. The record is from RNAcentral.